This 253-nucleotide ribosomal RNA is filed under the name uncultured bacterium. RNAcentral's name for it is "partial 16S ribosomal RNA". It matches the Rfam family "Bacterial small subunit ribosomal RNA", at positions 524 to 776 of the family's 1533-position model. The record is from RNAcentral.
UACGUAGGGUGCAAGCGUUAAUCGGAAUUACUGGGCGUAAAGCGUGCGCAGGCGGUUGUGUAAGACAGAUGUGAAAUCCCCGGGCUCAACCUGGGAACUGCAUUUGUGACUGCAUCGCUGGAGUGCGGCAGAGGGGGAUGAAAUUCCGCGUGUAGCAGUGAAAUGCGUAGAUAUGCGGAGGAACACCGAUGGCGAAGGCAAUCCCCUGGGCCUGCACUGACGCUCAUGCACGAAAGCGUGGGGAGCAAACAGG